This is a small nucleolar RNA of Medicago truncatula (barrel medic), 85 nucleotides long. It matches the Rfam family "Small nucleolar RNA R16". Rfam says of the family: snoR16 is a member of the C/D class of snoRNA which contain the C (UGAUGA) and D (CUGA) box motifs. Lineage: Eukaryota; Viridiplantae; Streptophyta; Magnoliopsida; Fabales; Fabaceae. The record is from Rfam.
UAUGGCAAAUGAUGAUUAAUUUUAACGCUUAUUGAUAUACUGAAUAAAAAGUGUUGACAAAAACCUCUGACUAACUGAUGCCAUU